AAUGAACGUUGGUGGCGUGGAUUAGGCAUGCAAGUCGUGCGAGAAGGGGGCUUCGGCUCCCGGACAGCGGCGAACGGGGUAGUAAGGCGUCGGAACGUGCCCCGAGGUCCGGAAUAGCGGCGGGAAACUGCCGGUAAUGCCGGAUGACCUCUGCGGAGCAAAGGUGUGAUUCCGCCUCGGGAGCGGCCGACGUGGUACCAGGUAGUUGGUAGGGUAACGGCCUACCAAGCCUUCGACGCCUAGGGGGUGUGAGAGCAUGGCCCCCACCACUGGGACUGAGACACUGCCCAGACACCUACGGGUGGCUGCAGUCGAGAAUCUUCGGCAAUGGGCGCAAGCCUGACCGAGCGACGCCACGUGCGGGAUGACGGCCCUCGGGUUGUAAACCGCUGUCGGGGGGGAUGAAGUCACGGGGGGCAAUCCCUUCGUGUUGACAGAGCCCCGGAGGAAGCGCGGGCUAAGUACGUGCCAGCCGCCGCUGUAAAAC
This 487-nucleotide ribosomal RNA is filed under the name uncultured bacterium. RNAcentral's name for it is "bacterial SSU rRNA". It matches the Rfam family "Bacterial small subunit ribosomal RNA", at positions 28 to 526 of the family's 1533-position model. The record is from RNAcentral.